Bactrocera oleae (olive fruit fly) is the source of this 1634-nucleotide non-coding RNA. Lineage: Eukaryota; Metazoa; Arthropoda; Insecta; Diptera; Tephritidae. The record is from RefSeq and is a predicted model, not a curated record.
AAAGUGAUACGGUCAAGAGAAAUAGCAUAUUUCGCGCAAAUGUUUCUCCCGCACAAAGACGUUUUCCUAUAAAAAAAAAAGUUAAAUUACAUUUACGAAAAACAAUAUAGAAAAGUAACAUCUGCCGGUUAUUACCUGCGCCGAAAGGAAGUGACACAUCCUUCUGCAGCGACAGUUUUCCGUUUUCAUUAAGAAAGCGUUCCGGUCUAAAUGUUUGUGGAUCACCCCAGAAAAUGCACAAAUUACCUUUGGUAUCUUGUAGCCCAUAAGCUCCGUGUCCACCAACGCUUUGUGUGGUACAUCUGAUGGCACCAAAGUCUCAAUUCUCAAGCCCUCACGAACAGCAGCUUCUGUAAAGUGUAAAUUCUUUCUAUCUUCAAGUGUGGGCAAACGCCCUCUACCUACAACCUCAUCUAUUUCCGCUUGCAUACGUCUCAUCACUUCCGGUUGAAGAAGAAGAUGUUGUAUCAAAAAUGUAGCUUGUACACCAAGCGCUGUGAACGCAGGAAAAGCAAAAUCUACCAAACCCAUUAUGAAUUGAGUGCGAUAAUAAACAUCCGCUUGCUCCUCCGCAUGCUCGAGCUUCAUUUGUUUAAUAUAUAAAUCGAGAAAAUUUCGCUCACUACACUCGUCAUAUGUGGCUAUAUGUUGAUCGACAAUUUUUUCGAAAUACUCAAAAAGAAAUUUAUUCGACUCCGUCAAAACAUCAUAAGCGCUCCAUUUGGGAAAUGCAUAGCGUAUCCAUGGCAUUACAGAUAGCAUUUUUCCAUAAUCAUCACCGUUACGCUGAAACUGCAUACCCAUUUUAAUCAACUGCAAUAUCUCGGCCUGUUCUGAGCGUGGUCGUCGCUCAUUCAUCAUGAUGUGAAAGAAAGAGUUGUAUGUAAACGGGCUAAAAAGAUUUGGCACACAAACUCUAUAGCCGCCGGGCUUAGAUAAUUCUCGUUCAUGCGCAUAACGGGGACCAUUUCGAAUAAGAUCUAAAAGAUCAGUUAUCUCUUCUUGUAUGACUAGUUCAAGUUCAGUGAAGCGUCGACCAAACCCAAAAUCACGAAGAUAGCGUAAAAUGAAGCGCCGCUGUUCUUUCCAUACUGGACCGUCUCGGAAGAAUAUGCCUACAAAAUAGAGGAAUAGAAAUUUUUAUUGUCACAAAAGGAUCGGCAAAGCUGUUGUCGCUUUAACAACAUGUGUUUGAAAGAUUGCCGUGGACAUGGCUAUGAUACUGGUAGUAAUAUGCGCGGUAAAUAUGAAGGAGCGUAAAAUCACAUCCAACGUAAACAUAAGUAUGCAGUUAAUUUACUUUUUUUGCUGUUCAAAUAUAUUUCAAUAUUUUCACAACGUUGGGAAAUUCUAAAAUUCAAAAUACCCAAUUCACUUCACUGUCUUUCUAAUACAAGAUGGUCUGCCAGUACCGUGACCGUCAAGCCAUUUGCGCAAAAUCUUUCUGGAUGGAGAAACGCUUUGAAAGAAGUUAAAAAACUCAACCUUACGGCAGAAACUCGACGAGACGUUAAUGAAAUUUUUAAAUAUAUGAACAAAUUUGAGUGCGUAUUGAUGACCUCCAUAUGGUUUAAAAUCACUUAGCUAAUCAAUAAAAGAAACUUGGUUUUUCAAGAGAUCAAUGCCAAAUGCAA